Long non-coding RNA from Heterocephalus glaber (naked mole-rat), 1959 nucleotides. RefSeq lists it as uncharacterized. NCBI's taxonomy places the organism in Eukaryota, Metazoa, Chordata, Mammalia, Rodentia, Bathyergidae. The record is from RefSeq and is a predicted model, not a curated record.
CUGCGGGUUCCAGGGAGGUGCGGGAACCGGGGAGUGGGCCGCGCCCCCCGGAGCGCCUGCCGCGGUCACCUGCCACGGACGCCACCAUUAAAACACACUGGCCCUUCUCGGUCUUCCUGGGAUGGCUGAGAUCACAGCGAUCCAGACCUUUAAAAAAUUAGUGUCGGAAAUAGCCGGUCUUCUUUGAGCCUGUCAUUUUCUUUUUUCUAAAAGGCCUCAAAGGGUAGAAGGAAACAGGCCAGGCUUUAUUUAAUAAGCACAAGGCGCAUGUUGUGUGCCCAGGCCCUGCUCUGUAGGCUCUACGGUCCUCAGCCCAUUUAGCCUGCAUUUUACCGAGGAGGAAACUAAGGCACAGACACUAAGUGACCUUACCCAAGGUCACCCAGCCACUAAGCGGUGGAGCUGAGAUGCAAACCCCGGCAAUCUGGCUCCAGAGUCAGUGUAUGUGUAGCCCUAAGGUCUUGACAUGAUGAUAAUGUCAAUAGCAGCUAGCAAAAGCAUUUAUCCGCUGGAGCAAUCUACCUGCGUCAACUCAUUUUAUCUGCGAUAAUCAUUUUUCCCCAUGGGGGGAAUGAAGCCCAGAGAUGUGACUGGUCCAGGGUCACCCCUUUACCCAGGAGACUGAGACCUAAUCAAAGGGCCCAAAGAAAGCUUAUAAUGUCUUCACCUUGGGCUACCCUAAAAAUUCAUGGGAAUUUUACAUCAAGUUCCUCCGUACACCCAAGCUUCCCUUACUAAAGCACCAUUCUUUAAUUUACCACUGAGCAAGCACAGUUCUUGAGACAGUAGACAAAGAGGGGAUAAGUUCUGAGAAAUGCUUCAUUAGGUGAUGCUAUUAUUGUGCAAUCCUUUCAGAGUGUACUUAUACAACUGAAGGUAACUACAACAUCAUGAUGAGAAAUAUUGAUGGGACCACUAUCAUAUAUGUGGUCCAUUGUUUUCUUUCUUUCUUUCUUUUGGUACUGGGGAUCGAACUCAGGACCUUGCACUUGGAAGGCAGGCUGCAGAACCACUGAGCUGAAUCUCCGGCCCUAUGUGGUCCACUGUUGAGUGGCUGUCCUAUGGCAACACGUGACUGCAAAUGUAACUAGGAAGGGAUCGAACUCGGGACCUUGUACUUGCAAAGCAGGAGACGGAACCAUUGAGCUAAAUCCUGGGCCUGUCAAUAUUGUCAUUUUUAACAAGGCCCCUGCAGAGUAAGACAGCAGAACAGGGAGAACGUGGAAUUUUUCAGCUCUAUUUUAUCAUCACUUACGUAAUCUUCCAAGAAUGUUGUAAAGUAAUAAACCUAAAUAAGAGGUAGAAAAGCAAAAAAGGAGGAAAAGAACAGAAACCUCACUGGAGUCCCGUCCCCUUCCCCUGCGCCUUCCAGAGUUCUGGGAUUACAGGCACAUGCUACCCACACAUGGUGAGUCUGGACAUCUUUCCAUAUGUUUUAGGGUCAUUUGUAUUUCCUUCUCUACAAACCACUGGUUUGUAUUCUUUGCUCAUUUUUCUUCUGCGGCUGUCAAAGCUCUUUACUUGGGGUUUGUGACAUUCUCAGGGAGUCGUCACUCAGAUAUGAUUAAGAAUUAUAGGGGAAAAAAAGAUCAGCUUGCUCUAACCCAAUACCUAUCUUGUGGCAUACAGAGUUUAUUUCAAAGAUUUUUAAAAUAAUUAUUAAAGCUUAAAUACACAUACUGAAAACUGUACAUAUACAUUACCAUUUGAUGGAGUUUUACAAACUGGACACAUUUCUAUAACCAGUAUAGAUUAAGAUACAGAUAUUACCAGAACCCCAGAAGCCCUUAUCAAUACAACCUUGCAGUCUCCAACACACAGGACUCUUUAUUCUUCUGUAGCUUUACUUUUUUAUUCUAUUUUUCCACCUUAAAUCUUUCUGAUGUUACCAUGUAGUUUAAACUGCAAAGUUCAAAUGAAUAAAAUUUUUUUCCUUAAAUUCUUUUAUUGGUACAUUUU